Molecule: long non-coding RNA, 308 nt
Organism: Hydra vulgaris (swiftwater hydra)
Lineage: Eukaryota; Metazoa; Cnidaria; Hydrozoa; Anthoathecata; Hydridae
Source: RefSeq, a predicted model, not a curated record
UUAAAAUUCUUGUACAACUUGACGUUUAUCGGUAAUCUAUUAAAGUCAACAGAAACUAAAGUCAUUAUUUUGUCGGAUUCUUAAUGAUAUUUUUUUAAAUGCACACUCCAAUUCCUUUUGGAAACAAAUUUCAAACAAUUGUUAAAAUAGGCUAUAUUAAAUUGUCUUUUGCAACUCGUUCUUUAUCAUAAACUGUUGAUCCUUCUUCAACUUGCCAAUGGUCGUUAAAAAGAGCAAAAUUUCUCGUGUCAUCAUUGAAAAAAAAGUAAGUAAACCGUAAAGCCCGAACACCAUCGUACAAAUAUACA